GACGAACGCUGGCGGCGUGCCUAACACAUGCAAGUCGAGCGAAUGAAGUUCCUUCGGGAAUGGAUUUAGCGGCGGACGGGUGAGUAACACGUGGGCAACCUGCCUCAUAGAGGGGAAUAGCCUUCCGAAAGGGAGAUUAAUACCGCAUAAGAUUGUAGUACCGCAUGAUACAGCAAUUAAAGGAGCAAUCCGCUAUGAGAUGGGCCCGCGGCGCAUUAGCUAGUUGGUGAGGUAACGGCUCACCAAGGCGACGAUGCGUAGCCGACCUGAGAGGGUGAUCGGCCACAUUGGGACUGAGACACGGCCCAGACUCCUACGGGAGGCAGCAGUGGGGAAUAUUGCACAAUGGGGGAAACCCUGAUGCAGCAACGCCGCGUGAGUGAUGACGGCCUUCGGGUUGUAAAGCUCUGUCU
This 413-nucleotide ribosomal RNA is filed under the name uncultured bacterium. Its description in RNAcentral is "bacterial SSU rRNA". It matches the Rfam family "Bacterial small subunit ribosomal RNA", at positions 28 to 438 of the family's 1533-position model. The record is from RNAcentral.